ACACGCAUAAGAACAAACAGUUGGCAAGCACAUACUAUAUGAGUGUAGUCUCAAGGAUUACACCACAAAGAUCUUGAGUAGCUGAUUUCGAUUGGCCUAUGAAUGCAUAAUGGUUUGUAUAUCAUGAAUGCUAUAUCAUGGAAUGUGAUAUAUAGCAUCACAAUUUAUGUACACAAUCUAUUCAUGUGGAGCAAGUAAAUCAAGCACAUAAAUGCUACACUAGAAUUCGUAAUUCACCAACG
RNAcentral lists this long non-coding RNA (242 nucleotides) under Hordeum vulgare. Its description in RNAcentral is "long non-coding RNA (HVUL_LNC008536)". Lineage: Eukaryota; Viridiplantae; Streptophyta; Magnoliopsida; Poales; Poaceae. The record is from RNAcentral.